Molecule: ribosomal RNA, 442 nt
Filed under: uncultured bacterium
Lineage: Bacteria
Description: partial 16S ribosomal RNA
Rfam family: Bacterial small subunit ribosomal RNA
Source: RNAcentral
CCUACGGGAGGCAGCAGUGGGGAAUAUUGGGCAAUGGGCGCAAGCCUGACCCAGCAACGCCGCGUGAAGGAAGAAGGCUUUCGGGUUGUAAACUUCUUUUAAGGGGGAAGAGCAGAAGACGGUACCCCUUGAAUAAGCCACGGCUAACUACGUGCCAGCAGCCGCGGUAAUAUGUAGGUGGCAAGCGUUGUCCGGAUUUACUGGGUGUAAAGGGCGUGCAGCCGGAGCGACAAGUCAGAUGUGAAAUCCACGGGCUCAACCCGUGAACUGCAUUUGAAACUGUUUCCCUUGAGUGUCGGAGAGGUAAUCGGAAUUCCUUGUGUAGCGGUGAAAUGCGUAGAUAUAAGGAAGAACACCAGUGGCGAAGGCGGAUUACUGGACGAUAACUGACGGUGAGGCGCGAAAGCGUGGGGAGCAAACAGGAUUAGAUACCCGUGUAGUC